Molecule: ribosomal RNA, 479 nt
Filed under: uncultured bacterium
Lineage: Bacteria
Description: partial 16S ribosomal RNA
Rfam family: Bacterial small subunit ribosomal RNA
Source: RNAcentral
GAUGAACGCUAGCGGGAGGCCUAACACAUGCAAGCCGAGCGGUAUUGUUUCUUCGGAAAUGCGAGAGCGGCGUACGGGUGCGUAACACGUGUGCAACCUGCCUUUAUCUGGGGGAUAGCCUUUCGAAAGGAAGAUUAAUACUCCAUAAUAUAUUGAACGGCAUCGUUUAAUAUUGAAAGCUCCGGCGGAUAGAGAUGGGCACGCGCAAGAUUAGCUAGUUGGUGAGGUAACGGCUCACCAAGGCGAUGAUCUUUAGGGGGCCUGAGAGGGUGAUCCCCCACACUGGUACUGAGACACGGACCAGACUCCUACGGGAGGCAGCAGUGAGGUAUAUUGGUCAAUGGGUGCAAGCCUGAACCAGCCAUCCCGCGUGAAGGACGACUGCCCUAUGGGUUGUAAACUUCUUUUGUAUAGGGAUAAACCUACCCUCGAGAGGGUAGCUGAAGGUACUAUACGAAUAAGCACCGGCUAACUCCGUG